RNAcentral lists this long non-coding RNA (589 nucleotides) under Homo sapiens (human). RNAcentral describes it as "long non-coding RNA NONHSAT213372.1". The record is from RNAcentral. Lineage: Eukaryota; Metazoa; Chordata; Mammalia; Primates; Hominidae.
CUGACUUGGGGCCGGCCGCGGGCAGGCGGGCAUCUGGCGGCCGAGGCCGGGACUUCGGGGCCCCUCCCGGGCGAGUCGCGGGGCGGCGGCGGGAAGGGGCGCCGCACGGAGGAAGUGCCCUCUUGGCCGCAGCCAGAGCCGCGCCGCAGGUGCCGCGAUGUCGUCCUGGCCGGGGCGCGAGGAUGCGAGGGCUGGGGGCGCGUGGUGGCCGCGGGAGCCGCUGGAUCAGGAACUGCAGCGGGCCCGGGAGCAGAAGCGGCGGCGGCACGACGCCCAGCAGCUGCAGCAGCUCAAGCGCCUGGAGUCCUUAAAGGGUCUCACCUGUGGCCAGGAGCGGUGGCUCACGCCUGUAAUCCCAGCACUUUGAGAGGCCGCGGUGGACAGAUCACGAGUUAUGAAAAACCUCCUCCUGGGCUUAUCAAGGUUGGCAUUGCAAAUGGUAUGGUCACCGAACAGGCUACAAAGAAUGCCCUUUCUUUAUCAAAGACAACCAAAAGUUACAACAGUUCAGAGUAGAUACAGCAGUUAAAACAGUUACUGGAGGAUUCUACCUCAGGUGAAGAUAGGAGCAGCUCCAGUUCCUCUGAAG